Molecule: long non-coding RNA, 699 nt
Filed under: Salmo salar (Atlantic salmon)
Lineage: Eukaryota; Metazoa; Chordata; Actinopteri; Salmoniformes; Salmonidae
Description: lncRNA (ENSSSAG00000081492.2)
Source: RNAcentral
AACACCAAAAGGGAUUUGACUUGUGGUGAGGAAAGACGUCCUAUGGGCCAGGGGUUUUAGUGGCCUUCCUGUGGGAUUCUAUCGUCUGAGUUCUAUUUUACACCGACCUGGUGCUGGCAGCGCUGGUGUAACUACCAGGGUAGGACUUCUUGAGGAAGCUGUGAACCCAGAGGAACAGGAUUCACUCUGAAGACUCAGAUCCCAUUGACAGGACCCACUGGCGCCGGGAUCCACUGACACCAGGAGCCACUGACACCAGAUCCCACUGAUCGUACCCAUGGCCAUGUACCAGCAGGCAGCUGUCUCCAAGCAGCAGGACAACACCUUCUCCAGCGGGGUCAUGGAGGAGUCUGAGGUCUGCUCUGUGCCUGGGGGGCUCGCCAGCGUCAGGGCACAAUUCGAGAACCAGGAAACUGCAACAUCGCACAAUGUCUCCCAGUUCCACUUCCACCGCAGAGCUGUGCAGGUACUGUAAUUAAUGCAGGCUAAUGUCAGACAUGCGAUGCAUGGGGGAACGUGCAGAUAUAGUAUGACCUACGCAGGUCUAAUUCCAGCCUACCAUCCAGCUAUCCAUCCAUCCAUCCACACCACUGUGUUCCUGCCCUCAUAACUUCCCCUGCUGAGUGGAAGUCACUCACUCAGUGAGCAAGCACAAAUCUUGGUGAAUAUUGAAUGAUUGAAGAGGCUGGGGAGAUGCCC